Molecule: ribosomal RNA, 1287 nt
Filed under: metagenome
Description: bacterial SSU rRNA
Rfam family: Bacterial small subunit ribosomal RNA
Source: RNAcentral
UAGCUAGUUGGUGAGGUAAAGGCUUACCAAGGCGACGAUCUGUAGCGGGUCUGAGAGGAUGAUCCGCCACACUGGAACUGAGACACGGUCCAGACUCCUACGGGAGGCAGCAGUGGGGAAUUUUGGACAAUGGGGGCAACCCUGAUCCAGCCAUGCCGCGUGAGUGAAGAAGGCCUUCGGGUUGUAAAGCUCUUUCGGCCGGGAAGAAAUCGCAUGGGCCAAUACCCUGUGUGGAUGACGGUACCGGAAUAAGAAGCACCGGCUAACUACGUGCCAGCAGCCGCGGUAAUACGUAGGGUGCGAGCGUUAAUCGGAAUUACUGGGCGUAAAGCGUGCGCAGGCGGUUUUGUAAGACAGGCGUGAAAUCCCCGGGCUUAACCUGGGAACUGCGUUUGUGACUGCAAGGCUAGAGUACGGCAGAGGGGGGUGGAAUUCCACGUGUAGCAGUGAAAUGCGUAGAGAUGUGGAGGAACACCAAUGGCGAAGGCAGCCCCCUGGGUCGAUACUGACGCUCAUGCACGAAAGCGUGGGUAGCAAACAGGAUUAGAUACCCUGGUAGUCCACGCCCUAAACUAUGUCAACUAGGUGUUGGGUGGGUAAAACCAUUUAGUACCGUAGCUAACGCGUGAAGUUGACCGCCUGGGGAGUACGGCCGCAAGGUUAAAACUCAAAGGAAUUGACGGGGACCCGCACAAGCGGUGGAUGAUGUGGAUUAAUUCGAUGCAACGCGAAAAACCUUACCUACCCUUGACAUGCCAGGAACUUGCCAGAGAUGGCUUGGUGCCCGAAAGGGAGCCUGGACACAGGUGCUGCAUGGCUGUCGUCAGCUCGUGUCGUGAGAUGUUGGGUUAAGUCCCGCAACGAGCGCAACCCUUGUCGUUAAUUGCCAUCAUUUAGUUGGGCACUUUAGCGAGACUGCCGGUGACAAACCGGAGGAAGGUGGGGAUGACGUCAAGUCCUCAUGGCCCUUAUGGGUAGGGCUUCACACGUCAUACAAUGGUCGGUACAAAGGGUUGCCAAGCCGCGAGGCGGAGCCAAUCCCAGAAAGCCGAUCGUAGUCCGGAUUGCAGGCUGCAACUCGCCUGCAUGAAGUCGGAAUCGCUAGUAAUCGUGGAUCAGCAUGUCACGGUGAAUACGUUCCCGGGUCUUGUACACACCGCCCGUCACACCAUGGGAGCGGGUUCCGCCAGAAGUAGGUAGCCUAACCGCAAGGGGGGCGCUUACCACGGCGGGGUUCGUGACUGGGGUGAAGUCGUAACAAGGUAGCCGUAGGGGGACCUGCGGCUG